RNAcentral lists this ribosomal RNA (484 nucleotides) under uncultured bacterium. RNAcentral's name for it is "partial 16S ribosomal RNA". It matches the Rfam family "Bacterial small subunit ribosomal RNA", at positions 28 to 523 of the family's 1533-position model. The record is from RNAcentral.
GACGAACGCUGGCGGCGUGCUUAACACAUGCAAGUCGAACGAUGAAGCUAGAGCUUGCUCUGGUGGAUUAGUGGCGAACGGGUGAGUAACACGUGAGUAACCUGCCCCGAACUCUGGGAUAACUGCUGGAAACGGUAGCUAAUACCGGAUAUGAUCAAUGAAGGCAUCUUCUGUUGGUGGAAAGAAUUUCGGUUCGGGAUGGACUCGCGGCCUAUCAGCUUGUUGGUGAGGUAACGGCUCACCAAGGCGACGACGGGUAGCCGGCCUGAGAGGGUGAUCGGCCACACUGGGACUGAGACACGGCCCAGACUCCUACGGGAGGCAGCAGUGGGGAAUAUUGCACAAUGGGCGCAAGCCUGAUGCAGCAACGCCGCGUGAGGGACGACGGCCUUCGGGUUGUAAACCUCUUUUAGUAGGGAAGAAGCGAAAGCGACGGUACCUGCAGAAAAAGCACCGGCUAACUACGUGCCAGCAGCCGCCGUAA